GAAUUAAGGGGUUUCCGUAGGUGACCUGCGGAAGGAUAUUA
This 41-nucleotide ribosomal RNA is filed under the name Penicillium raistrickii. RNAcentral's name for it is "partial 18S ribosomal RNA". Lineage: Eukaryota; Fungi; Ascomycota; Eurotiomycetes; Eurotiales; Aspergillaceae. The record is from RNAcentral.